ACUGCUAAACUACAGUGCUACAGGAAAGCAUGCGCUUCAAAUGUGCUUUACAUAACUUUAAAGCACAUUUGAAGCACAUGCUUGCCUGUAGCACUGUAGCUUAGCGGU
RNAcentral lists this microRNA precursor (108 nucleotides) under Podarcis lilfordi (Lilford's wall lizard). The record is from RNAcentral. Lineage: Eukaryota; Metazoa; Chordata; Lepidosauria; Squamata; Lacertidae.